UGCAUCCACGGGGGGCAGCAGUAGGGAAUCUUCCACAAUGGACGAAAGUCUGAUGGAGCAACGCCGCGUGAGUGAAGAAGGGUUUCGGCUCGUAAAACUCUGUUGGUAGUGAAGAAAGAUAGAGGUAGUAACUGGCCUUUAUUUGACGGUAAUUAAUUAGAAAGUCACGGCUAACUACGUGCCAGCAGCCGCGGUAAUAAGUAAGUGGGAAGCGUUGUCCGGAUUUAUUGGGCGUAAAGCGGGUGCAGGCGG
Molecule: ribosomal RNA, 252 nt
Filed under: uncultured bacterium
Lineage: Bacteria
Description: partial 16S ribosomal RNA
Rfam family: Bacterial small subunit ribosomal RNA
Source: RNAcentral